GGCAAGCCUCCAUAGCAACAGCUACCAAACAAAUGAAAAACUAAAAGAGGAGAAGGGGCUUCGUCUCCUUAUUUUUUUAAACUAUAAUUUAGAUGAAAACACCUGCUGACAAGAGUUCAGUUAGUCUGAAAAAUGGCUGAAGCGCGUGAAAAACUCGAGUUCGUGAACGCACCAUCCGGGCAAGGCUGUGAUCAGGCUGGGGUUUCAGCUCAGGAGGAGGACAGGAGACAAAGAGAAGACAGAGAAGAGGACAGGAUAAAGGGGUUGAUGAACCUACACAGAGCUCUAGAAACAUCAGUGUCAAACAUCCAGACAGCAGCCGAUGCCAAACUGUUGCUACGGCAGGCAGAGGUGGAGGAGACUCACAGGGUUUGGUAAGUCCUUUACAUCACAUGUGUCAAACUCAAGGCCCGGGGGCCAAAUCUGGCCUGUUAGAGCAGUGUUUCUCAAAUGGGGGUACGUGUACCUUUAAGGGUAUGCGAUGGAGAGAGAGAGAGAAGGG
This 502-nucleotide long non-coding RNA is filed under the name Gouania willdenowi (blunt-snouted clingfish). RNAcentral's name for it is "lncRNA (ENSGWIG00000018673.1)". The record is from RNAcentral. Lineage: Eukaryota; Metazoa; Chordata; Actinopteri; Blenniiformes; Gobiesocidae.